CUGCUGACGGUGCUGCUGGUGGGAGGAGAGAGUCAAAGAGAGAGCCUGCUGGUGGUGGUGGUGGUGGUGGGAGGCGCGUGGGGAAGCACGCGUCUCCGAGGAGGAGAGAUCGACAGGGCUGUAAAGGCUGUUGUAGUGGUGGGGGUCUAGAGGGAUGCCGACGAACUGCUGCUGUUGCUGGUGGUGGUGGUGGUGGCCGGAGGAGAAGUGGUGAGGCGGAGGAGGAGGGGUGACGUCGUCGUGGUCGGAGUAGUGGUGGACGUAGGUAGGGUUCAUAAGGAGGAGGGUAUG
This 291-nucleotide long non-coding RNA is filed under the name Linum usitatissimum (flax). RNAcentral's name for it is "long non-coding RNA (LUSI_LNC000865)". Lineage: Eukaryota; Viridiplantae; Streptophyta; Magnoliopsida; Malpighiales; Linaceae. The record is from RNAcentral.